RNAcentral lists this ribosomal RNA (497 nucleotides) under uncultured bacterium. Its description in RNAcentral is "partial 16S ribosomal RNA". It matches the Rfam family "Bacterial small subunit ribosomal RNA", at positions 28 to 507 of the family's 1533-position model. The record is from RNAcentral.
GAUGAACGCUGGCGGCGUGCCUAAUACAUGCAAGUCGAGCGAACAGAUAAGGAGCUUGCUCCUUUGACGUUAGCGGCGGACGGGUGAGUAACACGUGGGUAACCUACCUAUAAGACUGGGAUAACUUCGGGAAACCGGAUCUACUACCGGAUAAUAUUUCGAACCGCAUGGUUCGAUAGUGAAAGAUGGUUUUGCUAUCACUUAUAGAUGACCCCGCGCCGUAUUAGCUAGUUGGUAAGGUAACGGCUUACCAAGGCGACGAUACGUAGCCGACCUGAGAGGGUGAUCGGCCACACUGGAACUGAGAAACGGUCCAGACUCCUACGGGAGGCAGCAGUAGGGAAUCUUACGCAAUGGGCGAAAGCCUGACGGAGCAACGCCGCGUGAGUGAUGAAGGUCUUCGGAUCGUAAAGCUAUGUUAGUAGGGAAGAACAUAAGUGUAAGUAACUGUGCACGUCUUGACGGUACCUAAUCAGAAAGCCACGGCUAACUCCGUG